GUCGAGGGGCAGCAUAGGGUAGCAAUACUCUGAUGGCGACCGGCAAACGGGUGAGUAACGCGUAUGCAACCUACCCUGUACAGGGGGAUAACCCGGAGAAAUUCGGACUAAUAUCCCGUAAUAAUAUCCGGAGGCAUCUUUGGAUAUUUAAAGUUCCGACGGUACGGGAUGGGCAUGCGUAACAUUAACUGGUUGGUAAGGUAACGGCUUACCAAGGCUAUGAUGUUUAGGGGUCCUGAGAGGGUGGUCCCCCACACUGGUACUGAGACACGGACCAGACUCCUACGGGAGGCAGCAGUGAGGAAUAUUGGUCAAUGGGCGCAAGCCUGAACCAGCCAUCCCGCGUGCAGGAAGACGGCCCUAUGGGUUGUAAACUGCUUUUCCAGGGAGAGAAACUUACGCACGUGUUGCGUGACUGACGGUACCCUGGGAAUAAGCAUCGGCUAACUCCGUGCCAGCAGCCGCGGUAAUACGGAGGAUGCAAGCGUUAUCCGGAUUCAUUGGGUUUAAAGGGUGCGUAGGCGGGCUAUUAAGUCAGUGGUGAAAUCCUGCAGCUUAACUGCAGAACUGCCGUUGAUACUGAUAGUCUUGAGUUUGGUUAAGGUAGGCGGAAUGUGUAAUGUAGCGGUGAAAUGCUUAGAUAUUACACAGAACACCAAUUGCGUA
This 666-nucleotide ribosomal RNA is filed under the name uncultured bacterium. RNAcentral's name for it is "bacterial SSU rRNA". It matches the Rfam family "Bacterial small subunit ribosomal RNA", at positions 61 to 719 of the family's 1533-position model. The record is from RNAcentral.